GAUCAUGGCUCAGAUUGAACGCUGGCGGCAUGCCUUACACAUGCAAGUCGAACGGCAGCGGGCCUUCGGGGUGCCGGCGAGUGGCGAACGGGUGAGUAAUGCAUCGGAACGUGCCAUUGAGUGGGGGAUAACGUAGCGAAAGUUGCGCUAAUACCGCAUAUUCUGUGAGCAGGAAAGCAGGGGACCGCAAGGCCUUGCGCUCUUUGAGCGGCCGAUGUCAGAUUAGCUAGUUGGUGAGGUAAAGGCUUACCAAGGCGACGAUCUGUAGCGGGGUCUGAGAGGAUGAUCCGCCACACUGGAACUGAGACACGGUCCAGACUCCUACGGGAGGCAGCAGUGGGGAAUUUUGGACAAUGGGGGCAACCCUGAUCCAGCCAUGCCGCGUGAGUGAAGAAGGCCUUCGGGUUGUAAAGCUCUUUCGGCCGGGAAGAAAUCGCAUGGGUGAAUACCCUGUGUGGAUGACGGUACCGGAACAAGAAGCACCGGCUAACUACGUG
This 497-nucleotide ribosomal RNA is filed under the name uncultured bacterium. RNAcentral describes it as "bacterial SSU rRNA". It matches the Rfam family "Bacterial small subunit ribosomal RNA", at positions 15 to 507 of the family's 1533-position model. The record is from RNAcentral.